Molecule: long non-coding RNA, 444 nt
Organism: Phalaenopsis equestris
Lineage: Eukaryota; Viridiplantae; Streptophyta; Magnoliopsida; Asparagales; Orchidaceae
Exons: 3
Source: RefSeq, a predicted model, not a curated record
AUGUAGCACGAGCAUGGCUCCAUUACAAGUGGCUGCUAAAGAUGAGUCAAAAAUAGAUGAAUCAGAUUUUAAGGUUCCCAAGUUAACAUUAGCGGAGAAGAAUAAUAAGAUAAAUAGGUACAAGGAGAAGAAAAAAGCCAGAAAUUAUAACAGAAAAAUCAAUUAUCCAUGUAGGAAGAUUCUAGCCGAUAGCAGACAUCGAGUUCGAGGAAGGUUUGCGAAGAAUGAUGAGGUUCCCCAAGCGGCAUCGAGGCCACCCACAUCUGUCGAUCAUUAAUUUGAUGACGUUGAUGAAAGAAUAGUAGCGAAGCAACAUGAAGAAAGGCUUCAGUCUUCCACAACAAUGGCUCUUAGAAGCCAUGGACAUGAUUAAGAUCAUAUAAAUAAGUUCUAAAUUCUAGUUGUUAUUUUCCUUCAUGUACAUUGCUUUCACAACUAUCCACU